GACGAACGCUGGCGGCGUGCUUAACACAUGCAAGUCGAACGGAAAGGCCCUGCUUUUGUGGGGUGCUCGAGUGGCGAACGGGUGAGUAACACGUGAGUAACCUGCCCUUGACUUUGGGAUAACUUCAGGAAACUGGGGCUAAUACCGGAUAGGAGCUCCUGCUGCAUGGUGGGGGUUGGAAAGAUUCGGCGGUUGGGGAUGGACUCGCGGCUUAUCAGCUUGUUGGUGGGGUAGUGGCUUACCAAGGCUUCGACGGGUAGCCGGCCUGAGAGGGUGACCGGCCACAUUGGGACUGAGAUACGGCCCAGACUCCUACGGGAGGCAGCAGUGGGGAAUAUUGCACAAUGGGCGGAAGCCUGAUGCAGCAACGCCGCGUGCGGGAUGACGGCCUUCGGGUUGUAAACCGCUUUCGCCUGUGACGAAGCGUGAGUGACGGUAAUGGGUAAAGAAGCACCGGCUAACUACGUG
RNAcentral lists this ribosomal RNA (468 nucleotides) under uncultured bacterium. RNAcentral describes it as "partial 16S ribosomal RNA". It matches the Rfam family "Bacterial small subunit ribosomal RNA", at positions 28 to 507 of the family's 1533-position model. The record is from RNAcentral.